This 1096-nucleotide ribosomal RNA is filed under the name Shigella flexneri. Its description in RNAcentral is "bacterial SSU rRNA". It matches the Rfam family "Bacterial small subunit ribosomal RNA", at positions 1 to 1087 of the family's 1533-position model. The record is from RNAcentral. Lineage: Bacteria; Pseudomonadati; Pseudomonadota; Gammaproteobacteria; Enterobacterales; Enterobacteriaceae.
AAAUUGAAGAGUUUGAUCAUGGCUCAGAUUGAACGCUGGCGGCAGGCCUAACACAUGCAAGUCGAACGGUAACAGGAAGCGCUUGCUGCUUCGCUGACGAGUGGCGGACGGGUGAGUAAUGUCUGGGAAACUGCCUGAUGGAGGGGGAUAACUACUGGAAACGGUAGCUAAUACCGCAUAACGUCGCAAGACCAAAGAGGGGGACCUUCGGGCCUCUUGCCAUCGGAUGUGCCCAGAUGGGAUUAGCUUGUUGGUGGGGUAACGGCUCACCAAGGCGACGAUCCCUAGCUGGUCUGAGAGGAUGACCAGCCACACUGGAACUGAGACACGGUCCAGACUCCUACGGGAGGCAGCAGUGGGGAAUAUUGCACAAUGGGCGCAAGCCUGAUGCAGCCAUGCCGCGUGUAUGAAGAAGGCCUUCGGGUUGUAAAGUACUUUCAGCGGGGAGGAAGGAAGUAAAGUUAAUACCUUUGCUCAUUGACGUUACCCGCAGAAGAAGCACCGGCUAACUCCGUGCCAGCAGCCGCGGUAAUACGGAGGGUGCAAGCGUUAAUCGGAAUUACUGGGCGUAAAGCGCACGCAGGCGGUUUGUUAAGUCAGAUGUGAAAUCCCCGGGCUCAACCUGGGAACUGCAUCUGAUACUGGCAAGCUUGAGUCUCGUAGAGGGGGGUAGAAUUCCAGGUGUAGCGGUGAAAUGCGUAGAGAUCUGGAGGAAUACCGGUGGCGAAGGCGGCCCCCUGGACGAAGACUGACGCUCAGGUGCGAAAGCGUGGGGAGCAAACAGGAUUAGAUACCCUGGUAGUCCACGCCGUAAACGAUGUCGACUUGGAGGUUGUGCCCUUGAGGCGUGGCUUCCGGAGCUAACGCGUUAAGUCGACCGCCUGGGGAGUACGGCCGCAAGGUUAAAACUCAAAUGAAUUGACGGGGGCCCGCACAAGCGGUGGAGCAUGUGGUUUAAUUCGAUGCAACGCGAAGAACCUUACUUGGUCUUGACAUCCACGGAAGUUUUCAGAGAUGAGAAUGUGCCUUCGGGAACCGUGAGACAGGUGCUGCAUGGCUGUCGUCAGCUCGUGUUGUGAAAUGUUGGGUUAAGUCC